Molecule: long non-coding RNA, 287 nt
Organism: Poecilia latipinna (sailfin molly)
Lineage: Eukaryota; Metazoa; Chordata; Actinopteri; Cyprinodontiformes; Poeciliidae
Exons: 4
Source: RefSeq, a predicted model, not a curated record
GACAGGUAGGAAAGGGAGAGGAGGUGGAAACGUAAGAGGAAGUGACCAAACAGACACGUUACCGAGAUGAGUAACGAGUCACAAAGGAAGGACAAUCUUCAGUGCCAGUGCUGGGGGAAAAAAACAACAACUCCUAGAACUGGUUCUUCUUAAAAGGUUCUUGAAUGCUCAUGAAAGCAGUCAGAUGCCCCCCAGCUAUGGCCUUUCCUGGAAGAAACAAUGGCAGCCUUUGUAGGACUCCAAUUCCUUUCUACAUGCUUGUAUCAGCUUUUACUCUUCUUUUGAUG